Long non-coding RNA from Aplysia californica (California sea hare), 361 nucleotides. RefSeq lists it as uncharacterized. NCBI's taxonomy places the organism in Eukaryota, Metazoa, Mollusca, Gastropoda, Aplysiida, Aplysiidae. The record is from RefSeq and is a predicted model, not a curated record. The transcript has 2 exons.
UCUCCCUCUCUCAUUAGGACGACCUGACCCCAAAAUGUGGGUCAACGGGUCUGAGUGGAAUUGACCUCGGCGGUGCCAGAGUAAGACAAAUCGCCUCCCGCUGGACUUCCAGACGGACCGGUCGGUGUCCAGUCUAAUCAUGUCGGGUCAUCCACAGAGAUCAGACAUCGCCACGGCUAUCUGGCCCGCGGGAGUAGGAAGGUCAAAAGGUCACAAGUUCAGGAACACUUCGUUGGGAAUACGAUAGAAACCCUUCAAGAACUCAAGAAUCGAGACAAGGACCUUGUAAGAGCUAACGCAACAACGCGACAGCAGUGUCCCAACCAGACAGUUUUACAAUAAAACAAUACUGUAAACCCUC